This 253-nucleotide ribosomal RNA is filed under the name uncultured bacterium. RNAcentral describes it as "partial 16S ribosomal RNA". It matches the Rfam family "Bacterial small subunit ribosomal RNA", at positions 524 to 776 of the family's 1533-position model. The record is from RNAcentral.
UACAGAGGGUGCAAGCGUUGUUCGGAAUUAUUGGGCGUAAAGGGAGUGUAGGCGGCUUGUUAAGUCUUCUGUGAAAUCUACGGGCUCAGCCUGUAACGUGCAGAGGAAACUGGCGAGCUUGAGUGUCGGAGAGGAUAGGGGAAUACCCGGUGUAGAGGUGAAAUUCGUAGAGAUCGGGUGGAACACCAGUGGCGAAGGCGCCUAUCUGGGACAACACUGACGCUGAAGCACGAAAGCGUGGGGAGCAAACAGG